GUAAAGCACUCCUACGGGAGGCAGCAGUGGGGAAUAUUGCACAAUGGGCGCAAGCCUGAUGCAGCCAUGCCGCGUGUAUGAAGAAGGCCUUCGGGUUGUAAAGUACUUUCAGCAGUGAGGAAGGUGGGUAUGUUAAUAGCAUACUCAUUUGACGUUAGCUGCAGAAGAAGCACCGGCUAACUCCGUGCCAGCAGCCGCGGUAAUACGGAGGGUGCGAGCGUUAAUCGGAAUUACUGGGCGUAAAGCGCAUGCAGGUGGUUUGUUAAGUCAGAUGUGAAAGCCCGGGGCUCAACCUCGGAAUUGCAUUUGAAACUGGCAAACUAGAGUACUGUAGAGGGGGUAGAAUUUCAGGUGUAGCGGUGAAAUGCGUAGAGAUCUGAAGGAAUACCGGUGGCGAAGGCGGCCCCCUGGACAGAUACUGACACUCAGAUGCGAAAGCGUGGGGAGCAAACAGGAUUAGAUACCCUGGUAG
This 472-nucleotide ribosomal RNA is filed under the name uncultured bacterium. RNAcentral describes it as "bacterial SSU rRNA". It matches the Rfam family "Bacterial small subunit ribosomal RNA", at positions 328 to 793 of the family's 1533-position model. The record is from RNAcentral.